GUGCUCUCUUCGGCAGCACAUAUACUAAAAUUGGAACGAUACAGAGAAGAUUAGCAUGGCCCCCGCGCAAGGAUGACAGGCAAAUUCGUGAAGCAUUCCAUAUUUUU
Molecule: small nuclear RNA, 107 nt
Filed under: Cervus hanglu yarkandensis (Yarkand deer)
Lineage: Eukaryota; Metazoa; Chordata; Mammalia; Artiodactyla; Cervidae
Source: RNAcentral